CAGCAGCCGCGGGAAUACGAAGGGGGCUAGCGUUGCUCGGAAUCACUGGGCGUAAAGGGUGCGUAGGCGGGUCUUUAAGUCAGGGGUGAAAUCCUGGAGCUCAACUCCAGAACUGCCUUUGAUACUGAAGAUCUUGAGUUCGGGAGAGGUGAGUGGAACUGCGAGUGUAGAGGUGAAAUUCGUAGAUAUUCGUAAGAACACCAGUGGCGAAGGCGGCUCACUGGCCCGAUACUGACGCUCAUGCACGAAAGCGUGGGGAGCAAACAGGAUUAGAUACCCCUGUAGUCCCUGUCUCUUAUAU
Molecule: ribosomal RNA, 301 nt
Filed under: uncultured bacterium
Lineage: Bacteria
Description: partial 16S ribosomal RNA
Rfam family: Bacterial small subunit ribosomal RNA
Source: RNAcentral